RNAcentral lists this ribosomal RNA (482 nucleotides) under uncultured bacterium. RNAcentral's name for it is "partial 16S ribosomal RNA". It matches the Rfam family "Bacterial small subunit ribosomal RNA", at positions 28 to 507 of the family's 1533-position model. The record is from RNAcentral.
GAUGAACGCUAGCGGCAGGCCUAAUACAUGCAAGUCGGACGGGAUUCAGGAGCUUGCUUCUGAUGAGAGUGGCGCACGGGUGCGUAACACGUAUGUAACCUACCUUUAUCAGGGGGAUAGCCUCUCGAAAGAGAGAUUAAGCCCGCAUAAAAUCACAGCACAGCAUUGUGUAAUGAUCAAAUAUUUAUAGGAUAAAGAUGGGCAUGCGGAACAUUAGCUAGAUGGCGGGGUAACGGCCCACCAUGGCGACGAUGUUUAGGGGAUCUGAGAGGAUGGCCCCCCACGCUGGUACUUGGACACGGACCAGACUCCUACGGGAGGCAGCAGUAAGGAAGAGUGGGCAAUGGGCGGAAGCCUGAACCAGCCAUGCCGCGUGCAGGAAGACGGCCCUACGGGUUGUAAACUGCUUUUAUACGGGAAUAAACCCAGAUACGUGUAUCUGGCUGAAUGUACUGUAAGAAUAAGGAUCGGCUAACUCCGUG